UACGUAGGGGGCAAGCGUUAUCCGGAUUUACUGGGUGUAAAGGGAGCGCAGACGGCAGCGUAAGUCUGAAGUGAAAGCCCGCGGCUUAACCGCGGGACUGCUUUGGAAACUACGCGGCUUGAGUGUCGGAGGGGCAGGCGGAAUUCCUAGUGUAGCGGUGAAAUGCGUAGAUAUUAGGAAGAACACCGGUGGCGAAGGCGGCCUGCUGGACGAAAACUGACGUUGAGGCUCGAAGGCGUGGGGAGCAAACAGG
RNAcentral lists this ribosomal RNA (253 nucleotides) under uncultured bacterium. RNAcentral describes it as "partial 16S ribosomal RNA". It matches the Rfam family "Bacterial small subunit ribosomal RNA", at positions 524 to 776 of the family's 1533-position model. The record is from RNAcentral.